UUUGGUACGCCAACAGCUCCAGAUCCAGGCGGCUGUGGUCGGAUCCACUACCGAUCCACCACCCCCUCCGUCCCGGGCCCUGGCCAGCCGCCAGCGUGGUCUUCUGUCUUGCUUCAAGCUUCAGUUUGGAGGCCCACUCAGGUUUGCUUCGACUCAUGCUUUCUUUGAUGGAAAAAGUCCAAAACAAACCUUCAAUUUGUAGGCAAAAGCUAAAUCAAAUCCCGAACUCUCAAUCGCUGAAAUGAGCACACCAAACUCUCUAAUCCCGAUUUGCUGAAUUGGGCCGGCCCAGUAGCGCAGUUACUCACGCACACACACUAAUCUGGUUUUCUUAAUUUCUUUCUUUUUCGUUUUCUUUUCUUUUUUAAUUUUUACACAUUUCUAAAUUUUCUCAGUACCCAAUGUACAUUUCUAACGCACACAAUAAAUAUUUCUGGAUAAUCUUUUAAUAUUUUCAAAUACAGUAUGUACAUUUUUAAAUUAAAUGUUUUAAAAACUUUUUGAACACAUGGUAAUAUUUUUCCAAAUACAUGUUUUACAUUAAAUUAAAUGUUUUACAUUUUCUUAAUGACAAUAAACAUUUUAUAAAACUACACGAACACUCUUUUACAUGGUUCAACAUUUUUUAAUUUGCAUACACUUUUUUCAAGGACAUACCACAUAUAUUCUGUUUAGGUCAGGACACAUUUUUUACAUCACGCAAACAUAUUUUUACAUUGCACACACAUUUUUUGAAAAUGUAACAAACACACUUUUUGAAACACGUGAACAUUCUUGAAAUGUUACAUUUUUUUGACUGUACAAAACAUUUUUUGAAUCACAUGAAUGUUUCAAAAAGUCUUUGCACUUUACAAUUUUGUUAAGGUUGCAAAAAAUGUUUGUAAAGGUGUUCGCUUUUUCCAAGUUGUUGGUUUUUGAAAAGUAUUCGAAUUUUUCAAAAAGUGUUCGCUUGGAAUUAUUUCGUCGCCCGUUAAGAAAAAGAAAGAAAGAAUUUUUACGCCGCAUGUUAAGGAAAAAAUUCGCUUCAUGUCUGGUGGGCUGGUCCAGUCGAGUCCACUGCCAACAAUCUGAAACAUCUUUUAAAUACAUUAUUUAAGAAAUAAUUUACGAAAUUCCAAAAACAUUAUUAAAAAAUGUGACACAAUUUUGAAAAUACGAAGAAAAAAAUCAAAGCAUGUGAAAAACUGUUGGAAUUCUGAACAUUUUUUGACAAAUGUGAUUUUUUUUAAAUCGCGAACAGUUUUUUAAAAUGCUAAUAGAGUUUCAAAAUUCCAAACAGUUUUUAAAAACACAAAAAUAAUUUAAAUUGUGCGAAAAAUAGAAAACCGGAACAUUUUUAACUUCUGAACAAUUCUAGAAAUGUGCGGACAUUUUUAACAGUUUUGUUAUAGUGGGCCGGCCCAAAUUCUUGUCCGUGAGAGUAGCUUGUGAUCCUGGCUGGGAUUGUAGUAUUCCCGGUGUGCCAAACAGGUAUAGGGUUCAAAAUAGACCGGGAUUACAAGUUCAGAGUGCCAAUUUCCGGGAUUCAAAGUUCAGGGUUUGAUUUAGCUUUUAUCUACAACUUCAAGGUUUAUUUUGGACUUUUCCCUUCUUUGAUCCCUCUACCCGCUCUAACACCACCAGCGGCCACGACGGGCAUCUGCAUCUCACGGCGGCCAAGGACCAGCACCGACCCGGACCCUUUUUUUCCAUGCACCUCUCUCCUCUUUGAUCGGUUGUGACCUUCCUCCCGGGCUAUUUUUUAUUGGGCAUGUAUGGCAUCUUUCUUGGUUUCUCUAGGAUAAACAUGAUCCAUAUCUCACCCUUUUUUGCUGGAUUGUUGAUUCUUGCAACUCCGAAGGUAUAUAAGUUGCUAGGAUUUGUGAUAAAGGGACAGUGUGGGACUAUUAAUUGGAAUAUGAAAGUUCAUCAAACUCUGUUUGCCGCCCCAUAACGGAAGGGAGGGGAGGGCAAAUCGUGAGGUCGAAGUUUUGUAGCGGCCCAUAACAUUUUUUUGGCCCACUAUACUCACGAAGCUGCGAGCGAACGGAUGAAAUUAUGGCAGCGAGGACGACGUACGAAAAAUUGACGAAAAUUAGGGAGGAAGAAGCGUUAGCCCAUUUAUUAUUAGGUAAAGACUAGAAUAAAGGCCCUCUUGGAGCUGAUAUGGGCUAUGGCCAGUGCAGCCCAUUUUGCACCAGUUCCUUUUUUUUGAGAAAUUUGUAGAUAACAUAUAAAUUAUAAUUUCAGUAAUAAAGUACGACCCUUAGAUAUUAGUGUGUUAUAAAUAUUGUCCAUACAAAGGAAAUAACCUACUUUUAGAAUUGUUC
RNAcentral lists this long non-coding RNA (2309 nucleotides) under Triticum aestivum (bread wheat). RNAcentral's name for it is "long non-coding RNA (TAES_LNC018014)". The record is from RNAcentral. Lineage: Eukaryota; Viridiplantae; Streptophyta; Magnoliopsida; Poales; Poaceae.